CAAUCGGCCCUUUUCAGGGCCACAAAAUAUUUAACACGUUGGAAU
Non-coding RNA from Trichomalopsis sarcophagae, 45 nucleotides. Lineage: Eukaryota; Metazoa; Arthropoda; Insecta; Hymenoptera; Pteromalidae. The record is from Rfam.